This 335-nucleotide long non-coding RNA is filed under the name Elaeis guineensis (African oil palm). RNAcentral describes it as "long non-coding RNA (EGUI_LNC072371)". The record is from RNAcentral. Lineage: Eukaryota; Viridiplantae; Streptophyta; Magnoliopsida; Arecales; Arecaceae.
CAGGAUAGUCCUUGUGAGGAGUCACAGGACUGUUUGAGUUGAGCACAAUUCGGAUGAUCUGAUCAGGGUUGAUAGUUUAACCCUGAGUCAUCCUAAACACAGGGGUCAAAAGGAUGAAUUAUACAGUAACCAUAUUCAUGUAGGUUCUGAGUGUUGCGAUUGUGACUCUUCGACCUAUCCAGACAUCGGGUACCAUUGCUAGAUGGUCACUUCGAUUAGUACAGAAAUUGGUUCCUGUGCUACCGGCUUAGGUUCGAACCUGUGGGGUCACACACAUUAGAGGUUCCUAUCGAUCUGAUGGCUGAUAUAGAAUCCUACAUGUUUGGAACUCGAUG